GGGGAUUUAGCUCAGCGGCAUAAGCGCCUGCCUUAUAAGCACGUGGUCGCGAGUUCAAUCCCUG
Molecule: transfer RNA, 64 nt
Filed under: Cavia porcellus (domestic guinea pig)
Lineage: Eukaryota; Metazoa; Chordata; Mammalia; Rodentia; Caviidae
Rfam family: tRNA
About the family: Transfer RNA (tRNA) molecules are approximately 80 nucleotides in length. Their secondary structure includes four short double-helical elements and three loops (D, anti-codon, and T loops). Further hydrogen bonds mediate the characteristic L-shaped molecular structure. tRNAs have two regions of fundamental functional importance: the anti-codon, which is responsible for specific mRNA codon recognition, and the 3' end, to which the tRNAs corresponding amino acid is attached (by aminoacyl-tRNA synthetases). tRNAs cope with the degeneracy of the genetic code in two manners: having more than one tRNA (with a specific anti-codon) for a particular amino acid; and 'wobble' base-pairing, i.e. permitting non-standard base-pairing at the 3rd anti-codon position.
Source: Rfam by way of RNAcentral